This 253-nucleotide ribosomal RNA is filed under the name uncultured bacterium. Its description in RNAcentral is "partial 16S ribosomal RNA". It matches the Rfam family "Bacterial small subunit ribosomal RNA", at positions 524 to 776 of the family's 1533-position model. The record is from RNAcentral.
UACGUAGGGUCCGAGCGUUGUCCGGAAUUACUGGGCGUAAAGAGCUCGUAGGUGGUUUGUCGCGUUGUUCGUGAAAACUCACAGCUCAACUGUGGGCGUGCGGGCGAUACGGGCAGACUGGAGUACUGCAGGGGAGAAUGGAAUUCCCGGUGUAGCGGUGAAAUGCGCAGAUAUCGGGAAGAACACCCGUGGCGAAGGCGGUUCUCUGGGACGGUACUGACGCUGAGACGCGAAAGCGUGGGGAGCGAACAGG